Molecule: ribosomal RNA, 445 nt
Filed under: uncultured bacterium
Lineage: Bacteria
Description: SSU rRNA
Rfam family: Bacterial small subunit ribosomal RNA
Source: RNAcentral
AGAGCGAACGCUGGCGGCAGGCCUAACACAUGCAAGUCGAGCGCCCGUAGCAAUACGGGAGCGGCAGACGGGAUAGUAACACGUGGGAACGCGCCCUUCGGUUCGGAAUAACUCAGGGAAACUUGAGCUAAUACCGAAUACGCCCUUACGGGGAAAGAUUUAUUGCCGAAGGAACGGCCCGCGUCCGAUUAGCUAGUUGGUGAGGUAAUGGCUCACCAAGGCUACGAUCGGUAGCUGGUCUGAGAGGAUGACCAGCAUCACUGGGACUGAGACACGGCCCAGACUCCUACGGGAGGCAGCAGUGGGGAAUAUGGACAAUGGGCGCAAGCCUGAUCCAGCCAUGCCGCGUGGAUGAUGAAGGCCUUAGGGUUGUAAAGUCCUUUAACGGGGAAGAUAAUGACGGUACCCGUAGAAUAAGCCCGGCUAACUUCGCGCCAGCAGCCGC